AGCUUUGCACAGUGGCAAUAUUGAACCCAGUGAGUUUUAUCCAAGGCACAAUUAUUGCUAAUUGAAAACUUUCCUACAAAGUUUUUAUCUUUUUUUUUAUAUCAAUAGAACAAUGAGUUAAUAACAUCAGUCUU
This is a small nuclear RNA of Echinops telfairi (small Madagascar hedgehog), 134 nucleotides long. RefSeq annotates it as U4 spliceosomal RNA. The transcript has a single exon. The record is from RefSeq and is a predicted model, not a curated record. Lineage: Eukaryota; Metazoa; Chordata; Mammalia; Afrosoricida; Tenrecidae.